RNAcentral lists this ribosomal RNA (465 nucleotides) under uncultured bacterium. RNAcentral describes it as "bacterial SSU rRNA". It matches the Rfam family "Bacterial small subunit ribosomal RNA", at positions 791 to 1254 of the family's 1533-position model. The record is from RNAcentral.
UAGUCCACGCCGUAAACGAUGUCUACUUGGAGGUUGUGGCCUUGAGCCGUGGCUUUCGGAGCUAACGCGUUAAGUAGACCGCCUGGGGAGUACGGUCGCAAGAUUAAAACUCAAAUGAAUUGACGGGGGCCCGCACAAGCGGUGGAGCAUGUGGUUUAAUUCGAUGCAACGCGAAGAACCUUACCUACUCUUGACAUCCAGAGAACUUAGCAGAGAUGCUUUGGUGCCUUCGGGAACUCUGAGACAGGUGCUGCAUGGCUGUCGUCAGCUCGUGUUGUGAAAUGUUGGGUUAAGUCCCGCAACGAGCGCAACCCUUGUCUCCAGUUGCCAGCACGUAAUGGUGGGGACUCUGGAGAGACUGCCGGCGCAAGCCGCGAGGAAGGUGGGGAUGACGUCAAAUCAUCAUGGGCCUUUAUGCCUGGGGGCUACACACGUGCUACAAUGGUAGUACAGAGGGCAGCCAAA